Papaver somniferum (opium poppy) is the source of this 4250-nucleotide long non-coding RNA. RefSeq lists it as uncharacterized. Lineage: Eukaryota; Viridiplantae; Streptophyta; Magnoliopsida; Ranunculales; Papaveraceae. The record is from RefSeq and is a predicted model, not a curated record. The transcript has 2 exons.
AUUUUCUUUCUGCGCCUCACUCACUCACUCCACUCCACUAGAAGAAAUUCCAAGCUCAAGAAGAAGAGGGGAAGUAUUAUAGAGCACUUCAUAACAACUAUACUGUAAUCAACAACACCCUAUAUGUAAGUGUGUGUUUCAAGAUUUGGUUUGCCCUAAUUUUUCAAGCCUUGAUUUCUUAAAUUGCAUAUUGAUUUACUCUAUCAGAGAUGUGAUGCACUAGCAUCAUAGUAUAUAUCAUCAUUAGGAAUUGAUAUUGAUGCUGUUGAAAUGGAUUAUUCAUCAAAAUCUGUAGAUUAUUCUGUUCAAUUGUUCGGUUAUGGUUUGGUUUGGCUGUGGUUCUAUAAUAGCUGUGAUAUGAGGUUUCUUUGUUGUUGAAACCCAUCCACUGAAGAAUACAAAAAUAGAGUAUAGAUUUCAAGUCUCCAAUAAAAAUGGGAGAAAAUCUUGAUGUUGUGUAGAGCUGUAAGAAUAUCUCUUUGUUGUCUACUCUCAAGUAAAUUACAAGACAUUAUUAGAAGAGCUAAGAAGGAUUCAGAUUUGAGUUUAUUAACUUCGGAUACGAGAUUGUUGAGUUGUGAAUUUGCUUCGCAUCCUUGGAUUCUUGUCAUUGCUUGUUCAAAUGUUGUUUACCAAGUUGAUUCGAGGUUUGCCGAGAGUACUGCAAUCAUUCUAGCCAAGAUUGACUUUGCUGCUGCGCGUUGAGAUGAGCCGUCCCAUUUGUAGAACGGGGGUUCUUAUGGUUUUAAUUUCAGUAUAGCAAGUAAAUAUUGCCUAUAUAUCUUUGAUACCAGAAAGCCACCAUCUCCUGUGAUGUUGUUUACCAAGUUGAUCUGAGGCUUGACGAGAGGAGUGCAAGCAUUCUAGUAAAGAGCGAGUUGUUUUCUGCCACGAAUUCGGAUGAGCCGUCACAUUUGGUAGAGGGGUGCUGAUUGUUUUAAUUUCAGUAUAGCAAGUAAAUAUAGCAUAUACCUCUUUAAUACCAAAAAGCCGCUAUCUCAUGUGAUGUUGUUUACCAAGUUGAUUCGAGGUUUGAUGAGAGGAGUGCAAGCAUUCUAGCAAAGAGCGAGUUGUUUGCUGCCGCGAAUUCGGAUGAGCCGUCACAUUUUGUAGAGGGGUUCUGAUGGUUUUAAUUUCAGUAUAGCAAGUAAAUAUAGCAUAUACCUCUUUGAUACCAGAAAGCCACUAUCUCCUGUGUUACAAUGGGAUCAGAAUGUUGAUGAAGCUACUUAUAUGCAGGCGUUCAGUGGAUUCGACAAGGUUAUUUCUUGAAUUCCGUUGACGAAUAGAUCUUGUAAAUUAAUCUUUUUGAUUCAUGGAUAUGUCUGAAGACUGGAAAUCGUAUUUCCCUAUCCGCUCUGUCCAUUUCCCACCUCUUCUUUUAUCUGAACAUUCUACAAUAAAAUCCUCUUUGGGUCCACUUCUGUUUAGCCCUUCUCCCGGAACCCAAAGAACAGAAUUUUCAUCUCCAUGUAUUCACUUUAAAUCUGAUGAUUUCUCUACAAUGUCCAACAACAAUCUCGGUUUUCUCAAAUGCCCUGACAAUGAUAUGUUGGUUUUCUUCCCUAAUGGUGAUAAUCUCCACAGACUGGGAUUUGUUGAACUAUCGCUAAAAGUAGAUGAAAAACCAGUGAUAGAUACUGCAUCAGAUUGUGAAUUCGAAAGCGGUGGAAUUGCUAAGAUUAUGGUUACUUCUGUGUAUGAUGGUGCUGCUUCAGCUGCUGCUGCUGCAUUUGCUUCUCCUAAGGGGUCUCCACCUGUUUCAGCACCUUCUGUUACCCUAGGGUUUUUUUUAGCAUGUACAACCAGCUCUACCCAUUGGUUUAGGAUUGACUGUAUCAAUUCUCCAAGCCUGUCUUUCAUGCUUGUUGGAAUCCAUAUUUGGAGGAAGAAUGUCUUCUUUUGUUAGAUGGUGGAGGAAGAAUCUUGUUUGAUGUCAGUUGCUGUUCUGGAACUCAGAUUUCAUAAGCCAAUAUUAAAAGAACUAACAUUGAUGUUUACUUUUAUGGAAGGAUUCAGAUGUGGGUUUCUGAACUUUAGAUAUGAGAUGGUUGAGUUGUGAAUCUGCUUGGCAUCCUCGGAUUUUUGUCGUUGCUUGUUCAGAUAUUGUUUACCAAGUUAAUUCAAGGUUCGACGAGAGUAGUGCAAGUAUUCUACAAUGAUCGAGUUAUUUGCUUGCCAAGCAUUCAGAUGGGGGUAACAAAUAUUUGUUACAUUUUGUAAAGUGGGUUCUGAAGGUUUCAAUUUCAGUGUAGCAAGUAAAUAUAGUCUAUAUCUGUUCGAUCCCAGAAAGCCGCUAUCUGACUAUCUCCUGUGUUACAAUGGGCCACUCACUGUGGUUUUGCCAUUUUGCUGGGGUCAUUUUUGAAUAAUGACUCGUUUUUCUUCUUCUUUGGGCCGCCUUUGCCAGCUCCACCUGAAUCAGUGGCUUCUAUAGUUUCAGAAUUAUGCCACACCUUUUAUUCGUGGAGGUUUUUUUUUUGGAUCUAUCUUUGUCCAUCGCCAAUGAUAUAGUGGUGAUUGCCUCAUAUCUAUCUUUGUUUCAAUUUCAGUGUAGCAAGUAAAUAUAGUCUAUUUUCAGAGGCAAUGCGUCUUAAGACAGAAAUCAUUUUGGGAUUCUGCAUCGUCAAUGAAGAUCUCUUAGACAUCCAUCUUGAGUCAGAUGUUGUCCACAGUUUUGACAGAUAUGUAAUGCUUUUUGGUAGUUAGCUCAAAUCAGACUUCGUAAUCAUUCUCCAUACACCUCAAGGAAGCAAGCAUAGCUUGACAUAUGAUAAAGUGGAGGUGAAAUAGUUCAGCAGUUGGGUCAUUUUAAGCAAGUCCAGUUCUGUAAAAAUUGUAACCAGAAAAGUCUCAUUUUGUGCAAGUUCAGUUUGAUAAGAAUGCUAACCAGAAAAGUGGCAGAAAUAGCAGCGGCAUGAGCAAAGCAUAAUAUCGAAGAAGUGCAUGUUCAGAAGAAGAAUAUAUGUUGGGGACAUUAAUGAAUGUAGAAGGGAAGACAAAAGGUAAAAAUAGAAGGUUGUAUUCACUGCUAGAUCUGAAUGCGCGCGUGUAAUAAUGGAAGCUUAGAAGAUCAAAGUUGACUAUUUAGAUUGGGAAGAAACUUGGGGUAUAGGUCAGCAAGGAGCACUACUUGACAUCCAGGUGAACUACUUGGGGUCCCCAAAAUUCAUGAAAGAAUGUCUCCACUUACCUCCAGCUCUCAUCAAUGUUGGUAGAACUGUGCCUGUCACAAGGGCUCUCUGGAAGCAGCAAUGUCUACUCAGUUUCAGGUAUGUCUUCCCAGUAAUUUCCAAUACAAUAAUUUCAGUUUUAAGCCUUUUUUGCAACCUCCUUUAGUCUCUAAUCCACCUGAUUUUUGUACUUGUUACGUUCCGUAGCAUGCCUAUAUGAUAUUCAGAUGCAGCCUACUUGUUUCCUUUUCUUAAUGUUUUUCUCAUCUUUAUAGUACAAAAGGUUUUGUUUCAGUGUUUUAUCAUUUAAAACUACCUUUUAAGAUAGGUUCAUUUUUUUUUAUCUGGAAUUUUGUUCUAUAGGUUUUGUAACUUGUAUCACUUCAUAGUUCAUACUAAGAAGUUUCAAUUGGUUGCAAAUCGUGAUGCACAUCUGGACAUCAAACCUUAUUAAUUGACUGUUUGUGUUCAGAAUUGCGCCACUAUAUGCUCUUUCGUAAAAAAAAAUCUGCUGUACUCCGUUCUCUUCCAAUGAUUCGGCUUCAAUCUGUUUGUCUUCCUAGAGUGAUAGCAUUAUUUCUGUACUAAUUUAUGGCUUCUUAAAGAGAAUCUUGGCACAACAGACGAUUUCUGCUAGAAAUCUGCAAGCUUCACGGAAUCAAAAAUUGUCUGGGAUUAUUUUUCCAGAUCUAAAUCUGGUGGCAAAGAGGUCUCGAGACACUGGCUUUCAACAUCAACGUUCUAAUCUCAACUGUAGUUAAAACUUUCCUCCAGAAACGAGUACUCUUUUGGGAUCCUCCUGUCGCCUCGUGAUAUUCAGUGGGAACACUCUGCAUUACGGAUCCUCAAUUUGUUUCCUGGCUUCCUGUUUAGCUUUGUGCUAUUUUUGUAUCUCAGUUUUCUCUUUUUGGUUUUGCAUUCCGCCUUGUUCAUCGGAGUUUGCUUUGUAUAAUCCACUUUGGAGGCCAAAUUGGAUUCAAUAAACUUGAGAUUGAACCGAGAUUUUUACUCGAAUGCAAUUGUAGAGUUUUCUGUUUCUUGUUGAAUACAUUUCUAUUUGAUUCGAUGAACCAACCA